RNAcentral lists this ribosomal RNA (495 nucleotides) under uncultured bacterium. RNAcentral's name for it is "partial 16S ribosomal RNA". It matches the Rfam family "Bacterial small subunit ribosomal RNA", at positions 28 to 507 of the family's 1533-position model. The record is from RNAcentral.
GACGAACGCUGGCGGCGUGCCUAAUACAUGCAAGUAGAACGCUGAAGGAGGAGCUUGCUUCUCUGGAUGAGUUGCGAACGGGUGAGUAACGCGUAGGUAACCUGCCUGGUAGCGGGGGAUAACUAUUGGAAACGAUAGCUAAUACCGCAUAAUAGUAGAUGUUGCAUGACAUUUGCUUAAAAGGUGCAAUUGCAUCACUACCAGAUGGACCUGCGUUGUAUUAGCUAGUUGGUGAGGUAACGGCUCACCAAGGCGACGAUACAUAGCCGACCUGAGAGGGUGAUCGGCCACACUGGGACUGAGACACGGCCCAGACUCCUACGGGAGGCAGCAGUAGGGAAUCUUCGGCAAUGGACGGAAGUCUGACCGAGCAACGCCGCGUGAGUGAAGAAGGUUUUCGGAUCGUAAAGCUCUGUUGUAAGAGAAGAACGAGUGUGAGAGUGGAAAGUUCACACUGUGACGGUAUCUGACCAGAAAGGGACGGCUAACUACGUG